RNAcentral lists this small RNA (29 nucleotides) under Bombyx mori (domestic silkworm). RNAcentral's name for it is "ovarian small RNA-22502". The record is from RNAcentral. Lineage: Eukaryota; Metazoa; Arthropoda; Insecta; Lepidoptera; Bombycidae.
UAGCUCUAAUCUGCGUGCGACUAGUCCGU